AGCCUAUUAGCUCAAUUGGUCGAGCACUGUGUAUAGUAUACAGAGGAUGUAGGUUCAAAUCCUACAUAGGUUA
Molecule: transfer RNA, 73 nt
Filed under: Spinacia oleracea (spinach)
Lineage: Eukaryota; Viridiplantae; Streptophyta; Magnoliopsida; Caryophyllales; Amaranthaceae
Rfam family: tRNA
About the family: Transfer RNA (tRNA) molecules are approximately 80 nucleotides in length.
Source: Rfam by way of RNAcentral